RNAcentral lists this ribosomal RNA (457 nucleotides) under uncultured bacterium. RNAcentral's name for it is "partial 16S ribosomal RNA". It matches the Rfam family "Bacterial small subunit ribosomal RNA", at positions 339 to 795 of the family's 1533-position model. The record is from RNAcentral.
CUACGGGCUGCUCCAGUGAGGAAUAUUGGUCAAUGGGGGAAACCCUGAACCAGCGACGCCGCGUGUGGGAUGAAUGGGCUCUGCCCUGUAAACCACUGUUGAGAGGGAAGAAAAGCUUCUUAUGGAAGCCGGGACUGUACCUCUUCAGAAAGGAUCGGCUAACUACGUGCCAGCAGCCGCGGUAAUACGUAGGAUCCAAGCGUUGUCCGGAAUUACUGGGUGUAAAGGGUGCGUAGGCGGGCUUGUGCGUCAGGGGUUAAAUCCCACGGCUUAACCGUGGAGCUGCCCUUGAUACGGCAAGUCUUGAGUGUGAGAGAGGAUGGUAGAAUUCCUGGUGUAGCGGUGAAAUGCGUAGAUAUCAGGAGGAAUACCAGUGGCGAAGGCGGCCAUCUGGCUCACUACUGACGCUGAGGCACGAAAGCGUGGGGAGCGAACAGGAUUAGAUACCCCCGUAGUC